Molecule: long non-coding RNA, 344 nt
Organism: Choloepus didactylus (southern two-toed sloth)
Lineage: Eukaryota; Metazoa; Chordata; Mammalia; Pilosa; Megalonychidae
Exons: 3
Source: RefSeq, a predicted model, not a curated record
CAUAGCUGCCUUGCAAACUAAGAAAGAGCCCUUAGCACUGUGUUAUAUGUUGGGGAGACAAUGGUGAGCGCAAGAAAUAUGACCUCCACCCGAUCUCAUGUAAUUUUAAGCAGGUAGAGUCACAUGAAGUGAUCUGGCCAUGCAAUGUGGGCAGACGUGAUGAACCCCACUUCCGGUCCUGGCCAACACAGAAAGUCCUGCAGGAUCCUGCAUUUUCUCAACCCUCUCAUCUACGUGUUGAAUGCCACCAAGGAUACAAGAUGCUGGAGCCACAUGACUGAAGCUGCCUGGUUUCCCGAGUUACUACUUGGAGGAGAGUCACACAAACGUUCAUACUGGUCUUU